UAGGGAAUCUUCCACAAUGGACGCAAGUCUGAUGGAGCAACGCCGCGUGAGUGAAGAAGGUUUUCGGAUCGUAAAGCUCUGUUGUUGGUGAAGAAGGAUAGAGGUAGUAACUGGCCCUUUAUUUGACGGUAAUCAACCAGAAAGUCACGGCUAACUACGUGCCAGCAGCCGCGGUAAUACGUAGGUGGCAAGCGUUGUCCGGAUUUAUUGGGCGUAAAGCGAGCGCAGGCGGAAGAAUAAGUCUGAUGUGAAAGCCCUCGGCUUAACCGAGGAAUUGCAUCGGAAACUGUUUUUCUUGAGUGCAGAAGAGGAGAGUAGAACUCCAUGUGUAGCGGUGGAAUGCGUAGAUAUAUGGAAGAAUACCAGUGGCGAAGGCGGCUCUCUGGUCUGCAACUGACGCUGAGGCUCGAAAGCAUGGGUAGCGAACAGGAUUAGAUACCCUGGUAGUCCAUGCCGUAAACGAUGAGUGCUAAGUGUUGGGAGGCUUCCGCCUCUCAGUGCUGCAGCUAACGCAUUAAGCACUCCGCCUGGGGGAGUACGACCGCAAGGUUGAAAC
RNAcentral lists this ribosomal RNA (556 nucleotides) under uncultured bacterium. RNAcentral's name for it is "partial 16S ribosomal RNA". It matches the Rfam family "Bacterial small subunit ribosomal RNA", at positions 355 to 900 of the family's 1533-position model. The record is from RNAcentral.